GACAGAUAGGCUGACAAACAAACGCUCAUUUUGCGCCUCAAACAUUCAGUCAUCGUUGAGAGCUGUAGCAGUAAAGUUGGAAUAAUCGGAAGCGAGAAAAAAAAAUUUGUGAGGCACUCUCCACCAUUCCAAGAAAAUGCUCAAAAAACGAAAUUUUGCUGCAUGCAAGAUAUCAACAUCUAAUGCCUAACAUCCAAUAGUUUAUCAACGGGGAUCAAGGGAGUUUUUCGCAAAGGGAAAAACUUCAAGUCGACUCAUUAUACUACACUACGUAUGGCGCCACAUUGGCGGCCCUCCUCGCGGUGAUCCCCGGGCAACGUCAAUUCAAAAGGCAAUUGACGGCGAAAAUGAGCGGCGCAACAGGGCGAAUUCAGGAGGAAUUCCCACAGCCAAACCAACACAGCACAUGUUGGUAACACCUCAAGCAAAAGCUAAGGACGAUGUUGCCAUAUCUCCUUAGUUUUUAAACAACAACACACACACAAAGAAAACCAUCCCCCCACAGCAGAGCGGGGAUAUUUCAAUGAAACUUCAGGCCAAGAGCAUGGCCAGAAGUUCACAAAGCCACUGACUACAGUCAGUGUAGGAGUGGGUUACACCACCUCACCCAGGCUGCCAGAACGCGGCAGUUAACAUCGAUUCUCUCUUAGAACACAAGAGAGAUUAUCAAAGAACAAUUUCCCGAAGAUCCAAUGCCCAAAGAUAUGCCUUGCGUUUAGCACAAAUUCUGUGGAGGAGAGUUUUACAAGGUUGUGAAGCAGCGAGAAACUUAGGAGUACUAAGAGGCCCAAUCCAUGGAUACAGCACUUUAAGAAUCUGCGGCGCACAAUUCUUCGAGCCCAGAGUUUUUGUAAGGAGCGAUUCUUUAAACUAAGAAAGAGCUCCAUCCAACAGUCGGCUCGUCUCUUCACCAUCGAGAAAUUUGUCGGAAGGCAUGGACAAGUCUUAGGGCAGCAAAGAUUAUUGGCAAAAUUGUUCACAGCAGCAGCAGUCACCCAUUAACGAAGAGUUGGGAGAACUUCCUGCCAUUGAAGAUGCUGUCUAAUCGAGGAGUUUGCCUACAAGCUCAAUACCAUCAAGAGGAACUUUGACGAAAGAAAACCAAUCUCAAAGAAAAAUCUUCAUCAACAAUAACCUUGAAGGAAGGCUUCCUUCCACAAUUGCAUAUAGCCUUAUCAAUUGUGUUUACUCUCACGCUCUGUGAGUUUUAAUAUAACAAGAACCAAAAAAAUCCAAAAAAAAAAAUUAAAAAUAAAA
Long non-coding RNA from Stomoxys calcitrans (stable fly), 1257 nucleotides. RefSeq lists it as uncharacterized. The transcript has 2 exons. NCBI's taxonomy places the organism in Eukaryota, Metazoa, Arthropoda, Insecta, Diptera, Muscidae. The record is from RefSeq and is a predicted model, not a curated record.